RNAcentral lists this ribosomal RNA (439 nucleotides) under uncultured bacterium. Its description in RNAcentral is "partial 16S ribosomal RNA". It matches the Rfam family "Bacterial small subunit ribosomal RNA", at positions 339 to 795 of the family's 1533-position model. The record is from RNAcentral.
CCUCGGGCCGCAGCAGUGAGGAAUAUUGCACAAUGGGGGGAACCCUGAUGCAGCAACGCCGCGUGGAGGAUGACGCAUUUCGGUGUGUAAACUCCUUUUAUAUGUCAAGAAAAUGACGGUAGCAUAUGAAUAAGCACCGGCUAACUCUGUGCCAGCAGCCGCGGUAAUACGGAGGGUGCAAGCGUUACUCGGAAUCACUGGGCGUAAAGGACGCGUAGGCGGGUUGGAAAGUCAGGUGUGAAAUCCUACAGCUUAACUGUAGAACUGCACUUGGAACUUCUAAUCUAGAGUAUGGGAGGGGGAGAUGGAAUUAGUGGUGUAGGGGUAAAAUCCGUAGAUAUCACUAGGAAUACCUAAAGCGAAGGCGAUCUCCUGGAACAUUACUGACGCUAAGGCGUGAAAGCGUGGGGAGCAAACAGGAUUAGAUACCCCGGUAGUC